UUUGCAACUAGUACUAUUUUUUAUUUAUUUUUACUUUGUUAUUUUAAAAUCAUGAUAUAAAUUGACAAUAUUUUGUUUCUUUUUUAAAAAGAUACUAAAUAUGAAAUAACUAAUUUCUAUUGGUCGGUGAACUACCCAAGAAUAACAAAUAUAUAAAUCAUAUAUCUUAUUAUAUUAAGGAGUGUUUUGCUCCUUCCUAGGUCCUCCAUGUAGGAAUUUACGUCAGAAAGUCGAGUGUUGCCGAGUCGACACGUGUCCUGUUCAACAACGCAUUGCGUUUCAUUUAUUUGUGUCUGCAAUACAUGUGGGCUUUAGUGUGUGUUCGGGCUUAAUGAACCCAAUCCGGAUAAAGAGAAACACCAGUUGUUAUGGAAACGCGUUGUUUCUGAUUUAGGGUUCAACCCGUUCUUAAUCUCCCCCAUUCGAGAGCUAAUCUCAACCUAAGGUUUCUCUGGUGUUGUUUCAUCUUCUUCCUAACAAUCCGAGAAACUAUCAGUUACAGAUUCAUCCUCUUAAAUCCACCACCCACGAUCUACCUUGAAUCCGAUCUUCACGCAAGGCCGUGGAACUGCGACUAUAAAAAAACCGGACGAGUACGGCACAAUAGGAGGAGGAAAGCGGUAGCGACGGAGGAGAGGAGGAUCAAGGCAAUGAGGGACCAGCCGUGUCCGGUUUGAAUCCGGUUGUUUAUUGCAACACUCAUUCCAGUGUUCAUUGUCUUCCCACCUACAAGUGACUGGGUUCUAUGUUUUACUUUGAUUUCACUUGGUGUAAUCAGAACUUUUGACUGUCAGACUCUCUUCAAUUGAUGCGGUCCAGUGAUGAACCCGGUUUGAUGAGUUAACCAAACCGAUUACACCCAUUCCUGAAGAACACUUCGGGUUCCUUAAUCACAGUGAACGGUCACUGUAUGAACUCCAAGAGUUUCUGAAACCAAGCGUAAGGAGAACAGCAGUUUGAGGAAGGAAUGGUAGAGUUUAUUGGACUGCUGAAGAUGGCUGUCAAGGAAGGUAUUAACUUAGCUAUCAGGACUUGAUGUGAAGUGAUCCUUAUGUUGUUUUCAAUCUAGGGAAGCAACAAGUUGAUAUCUAGCCUCUGAUACAUUCUGUGCUGAUGACAUAAUGGGAGAAGCUCAACUUGAUAUCCAGCCUCUGAUAACAUCUGCAAUGGCGUUUGGGGAUCCAUAGAUGUUUGGAGAUAUUCAGAUUGGGAAAUGGCUAAAGUUGCAUGAUAAUCCGCCAAUAGAUGACAACAUCAUUAACAUUGUUGAUGGGAAAGUGAAGCAUGCAGGAGGUUUAGAUCAAGCUUCAGGGUGUAAAGUCUGUAGAAUUAGAGCUGGAAAUGGAAUGGCUGCCACUUGACCAAUAAUACUAAUACCUGUAGAUUCCACUUUAUAAACUUACACUUUUUGCAAUAAGUACAUUGAUUUUUUUUGUUGAAACAUUUUUAGAUCUCUCAUUUCUUUACACAAAAAUAUUUGUUUGUAA
Molecule: long non-coding RNA, 1487 nt
Organism: Brassica napus (rape)
Lineage: Eukaryota; Viridiplantae; Streptophyta; Magnoliopsida; Brassicales; Brassicaceae
Exons: 6
Source: RefSeq, a predicted model, not a curated record